UACUCUCGUUUUCUCCUGCAAAUUUACAGUAUGGGCAUCCUUUUUUUAACAUCUUUCGUCAAAGAAGUGGAUUCAAAGCACAUUGUGACCUCAGUAUAUUGAUGUGAAACCAUGCAGAAAAUGCUACUUUCUCUCAACCUUGUGGAUGUUCCCUACUUCCCUAAGGAUCAGCAGCCUCUUGAAACAGUUGAAGCCAUUAUCGAAUUCCUUGGAUCUGAAAGCAGUGCAUAAU
This is a long non-coding RNA of Strongylocentrotus purpuratus (purple sea urchin), 232 nucleotides long. RefSeq lists it as uncharacterized. The record is from RefSeq and is a predicted model, not a curated record. Lineage: Eukaryota; Metazoa; Echinodermata; Echinoidea; Camarodonta; Strongylocentrotidae. The transcript has 3 exons.